GUGGGGAAUAUUGCACAAUGGGCGCAAGCCUGAUGCAGCAACGCCGCGUGAGUGAAGAAGGUCUUCGGAUCGUAAAACUCUGUCCUUAGGGAAGAAACAAAUGACGGUACCUAAGGAGGAAGCCCCGGCUAACUACGUGCCAGCAGCCGCGGUAAUACGUAGGGGGCGAGCGUUAUCCGGAAUUAUUGGGCGUAAAGAGUACGUAGGUGAUUUUGUAAGCGUGGAGUGAAAGACCGAGGCUUAACUUCGGUUAGCCUUGCGAACUGCAAGACUUGAGUGCAGGAGAGGAAAGUGGAAUUCCUAGUGUAGCGGUGAAAUGCGUAGAUAUUAGGAGGAACAUCAGUGGCGAAGGCGACUUUCUGGACUGUAACUGACACUGAGGUACGAAAGCGUGGGUAGCAAACAGGAUUAGAUACCCUAGUAGUCC
RNAcentral lists this ribosomal RNA (427 nucleotides) under uncultured bacterium. RNAcentral's name for it is "partial 16S ribosomal RNA". It matches the Rfam family "Bacterial small subunit ribosomal RNA", at positions 354 to 796 of the family's 1533-position model. The record is from RNAcentral.